AUUUGAUUAGCAAAGAGGUUAAUGCUCAAGAUUUAGGAUUUUGUAUGGGCGGUUCGAGUCUGCCAUCUGAUU
RNAcentral lists this transfer RNA (72 nucleotides) under Odinella nutrix. RNAcentral's name for it is "tRNA-Leu". It matches the Rfam family "tRNA". From Rfam's summary of the family: Transfer RNA (tRNA) molecules are approximately 80 nucleotides in length. Their secondary structure includes four short double-helical elements and three loops (D, anti-codon, and T loops). Further hydrogen bonds mediate the characteristic L-shaped molecular structure. tRNAs have two regions of fundamental functional importance: the anti-codon, which is responsible for specific mRNA codon recognition, and the 3' end, to which the tRNAs corresponding amino acid is attached (by aminoacyl-tRNA synthetases). tRNAs cope with the degeneracy of the genetic code in two manners: having more than one tRNA (with a specific anti-codon) for a particular amino acid; and 'wobble' base-pairing, i.e. permitting non-standard base-pairing at the 3rd anti-codon position. Lineage: Eukaryota; Metazoa; Echinodermata; Asteroidea; Brisingida; Odinellidae. The record is from RNAcentral.